CUCGUAGGCGGCCAACUAAGUCAGACGUGAAAUCCCUCGGCUUAACCGGGGAACUGCGUCUGAUACUGGAUGGCUCGAGUUUGGGAGAGGGAUGCGGAAUUCCAGGUGUAGCGGCGAAAUGCGUAGAUAUCUGGAGGAACACCUGAGGCGAAGGCGGGCUACUGGGCCGAUACUGACGCUGAUGCGCGAAAGCCAGGGGAGCAAACG
RNAcentral lists this ribosomal RNA (207 nucleotides) under uncultured bacterium. RNAcentral describes it as "partial 16S ribosomal RNA". It matches the Rfam family "Bacterial small subunit ribosomal RNA", at positions 568 to 774 of the family's 1533-position model. The record is from RNAcentral.